Long non-coding RNA from Lepisosteus oculatus (spotted gar), 386 nucleotides. RefSeq lists it as uncharacterized. The record is from RefSeq and is a predicted model, not a curated record. Lineage: Eukaryota; Metazoa; Chordata; Actinopteri; Semionotiformes; Lepisosteidae.
UUAAUACCCCUGCCCCUCAGCAACAGACACAGGAUCAUUAACCUCAGAGAAACAGACUAGAGCUUGUUUCACAGCUCAUCACAGACGCACCAACCGCAGGAAAAUCCGAGCCUCUGAGCAGCCUGCUCAGCUGCUGAGAGACAGGGCAGAAUCAGGUUAUCUGAAAUCACAGUGUGAAUGUUUGACCUUUCUGCCCGGAGCAAUGGAAUGGCAGAUAUUCUCAAUCCUUUCCGCCUGGGAGAGGUAGAAGUAAAGGUGCCAGAGCUUCAGGAUGACUGAUGAAGGACUGUCCACAGCAACUGAUUACCCCAGAACCACUUCCCCUCUCGGAUUAGCACACUGGAAAGAGUACCAGCCGAGUCCGGGACCUGGAGCGCCUGGUCCCG